GCCUGGCUGGCUCAGUGGGUAGAGCAUGUGACUCUCAAUCUCAGGGUCAUGAGUUCAAGCCUCACGAUGGGCA
Non-coding RNA from Neofelis nebulosa (Clouded leopard), 73 nucleotides. The record is from the annotation of a RefSeq genome assembly. NCBI's taxonomy places the organism in Eukaryota, Metazoa, Chordata, Mammalia, Carnivora, Felidae.